Long non-coding RNA from Zea mays, 726 nucleotides. RefSeq lists it as uncharacterized. The record is from RefSeq and is a predicted model, not a curated record. The transcript has 2 exons. NCBI's taxonomy places the organism in Eukaryota, Viridiplantae, Streptophyta, Magnoliopsida, Poales, Poaceae.
CGCCUAGCUAGGUUUCUAUGGAGCAUCCACUUAGUUAACUUAAUCCACGCCUCUCCUUUGUUUAUUACACCUCUUCCAAGCAAUAAACUACCGCAGAUUAACUUGUGGUCGCUAAGCGCUCGCGAGUCGGGUAAAUCUCAGCGUGCGGCCAGGAACUAACAUGACGGAAGCUUCGUUCUGCACGCAGAGACGGAAGCUUGUUUAUUUGAUCUGCAUUAGUGCAACAGCGAGACGCUGGCCGCUCAGAAGGCCGCGGCGUGCGCACGCAUCCCACCAAACCGGAUCGCCGGAUUUCCUUUCGCGCAAUACAACGGUGCAAGAAUCUCCGGGCGGACGCCGGAAGCCGCUAGCUUUUGUGCAAAAGCUAGUCGGGGUCAGGAAUCUUCGGACAUUGGAUAAAGCCGUACACAAUAUAAAAAGCGGGGUCAGGACGAAGGUCGAACCAGUUCCGAAGCUAUGCGCAAGGAAGCUUCGGCUCAACGACAGAAAGGAGAACCGGCUUAAAGGGGAAAAGGCUAUCUAGUCCUUGUUGGAUUGUCAUUAAGUCAAUAGUAAACAUAAAGGGCAUGAAUGUAAUUUUACACAGGCUGCGCCUUGUGCCUAUAAAUAGAUGAACAGUACCCCCGUACUGUUCACUCUGAUUUGUACUCGCUCGUGCGUCACACUUGUACUUUUGCCUUCUGUCAAGCCGAAGGUACAAAUGUAAUUCAAUAUUGUUCUUAUUCA